GGGACUGGCGAUUGGGACGAAGUCGUAACAAGGUAGCCGUACCGGAAGGUGCGGCUGGAUCACCUCCUUU
RNAcentral lists this ribosomal RNA (70 nucleotides) under Streptomyces prunicolor. RNAcentral's name for it is "partial 16S ribosomal RNA". It matches the Rfam family "Bacterial small subunit ribosomal RNA", at positions 1464 to 1533 of the family's 1533-position model. RNAcentral also lists the same sequence under 2 other names. The record is from RNAcentral. Lineage: Bacteria; Bacillati; Actinomycetota; Actinomycetes; Kitasatosporales; Streptomycetaceae.